Molecule: ribosomal RNA, 528 nt
Filed under: uncultured bacterium
Lineage: Bacteria
Description: partial 16S ribosomal RNA
Rfam family: Bacterial small subunit ribosomal RNA
Source: RNAcentral
GGGGAAUAUUGCACAAUGGGCGAAAGCCUGAUGCAGCAACGCCGCGUGAGUGAUGAAGGUCUUCGGAUUGUAAAGCUCUGUCUUUUGGGACGAUAAUGACGGUACCAAAGGAGGAAGCCACGGCUAACUACGUGCCAGNAGCCGCGGUAAUACGUAGGUGGCGAGCGUUGUCCGGAUUUACUGGGCGUAAAGGGUGCGUAGGCGGAUGUUUAAGUGAGAUGUGAAAUACCCGGGCUUAACUUGGGUGCUGCAUUUCAAACUGGAUAUCUAGAGUGCAGGAGAGGAGAAUGGAAUUCCUAGUGUAGCGGUGAAAUGCGUAGAGAUUAGGAAGAACACCAGUGGCGAAGGCGAUUCUCUGGACUGUAACUGACGCUGAGGCACGAAAGCGUGGGUAGCAAACAGGAUUAGAUACCCUGGUAGUCCACGCCGUAAACGAUGAGUACUAGGUGUAGGAGGUAUCGACCCCUUCUGUGCCGCAGUAAACACAUUAAGUACUCCGCCUGGGAAGUACGAUCGCAAGAUUAAAAC